This 87-nucleotide transfer RNA is filed under the name Epibacterium sp. DP7N7-1. Its description in RNAcentral is "tRNA-Leu". It matches the Rfam family "tRNA". From Rfam's summary of the family: Transfer RNA (tRNA) molecules are approximately 80 nucleotides in length. Their secondary structure includes four short double-helical elements and three loops (D, anti-codon, and T loops). Lineage: Bacteria; Pseudomonadati; Pseudomonadota; Alphaproteobacteria; Rhodobacterales; Roseobacteraceae. The record is from RNAcentral.
GCUCUCUUGGCGGAAUUGGUAUACGCGCAGCGUUGAGGUCGCUGUGGCCGAAAGGCCUUGUGGGUUCGAGUCCCACAGAGAGUACCA